UACAGAGGUGGCAAGCGUUGUUCGGAAUUACUGGGCGUAAAGCGUGCGCAGGCGGUUCGUUGUGUCGGCGGUGAAAGCCCCGGGCUUAACCUGGGAACGGCCAUGGAAACUGGCGAGCUGGAGUGUGGCAGAGGGGGGUGGAAUUCCGCGUGUAGCAGUGAAAUGCGUAGAGAUGCGGAGGAACACCGAUGGCGAAGGCAGCCCCCUGGGCUAACACUGACGCUGAGGCACGAAAGCGUGGGGAGCAAACAGG
This 253-nucleotide ribosomal RNA is filed under the name uncultured bacterium. RNAcentral's name for it is "partial 16S ribosomal RNA". It matches the Rfam family "Bacterial small subunit ribosomal RNA", at positions 524 to 776 of the family's 1533-position model. The record is from RNAcentral.